UCGAACGAUGAUCCCAGCUUGCUGGGGGAUUAGUGGCGAACGGGUGAGUAACACGUGAGUAACCUGCCCUUAACUCUGGGAUAAGCCUGGGAAACUGGGUCUAAUACCGGAUAUGACUCCUCAUCGCAUGGUGGGGGGUGGAAAGCUUUUUGUGGUUUUGGAUGGACUCGCGGCCUAUCAGCUUGUUGGUGAGGUAAUGGCUCACCAAGGCGACGACGGGUAGCCGGCCUGAGAGGGUGACCGGCCACACUGGGACUGAAACACGGCCCAGACUCCUACGGGAGGCAGCAGUGGGGAAUAUUGCACAAUGGGCGAAAGCCUGAUGCAGCGACGCCGCGUGAGGGAUGACGGCCUUCGGGUUGUAAACCUCUUUCAGUAGGGAAGAAGCGAAAGUGACGGUACCUGCAGAAGAAGCGCCGGCUAACUACGUGCCAGCAGCCGCGGUAAUACGUAGGGCGCAAGCGUUAUCCGGAAUUAUUGGGCGUAAAGAGCUCGUAGGCGG
RNAcentral lists this ribosomal RNA (502 nucleotides) under Arthrobacter sp. RNAcentral describes it as "bacterial SSU rRNA". It matches the Rfam family "Bacterial small subunit ribosomal RNA", at positions 62 to 578 of the family's 1533-position model. Lineage: Bacteria; Bacillati; Actinomycetota; Actinomycetes; Micrococcales; Micrococcaceae. The record is from RNAcentral.